Molecule: ribosomal RNA, 253 nt
Filed under: uncultured bacterium
Lineage: Bacteria
Description: partial 16S ribosomal RNA
Rfam family: Bacterial small subunit ribosomal RNA
Source: RNAcentral
GACAGAGGGUGCAAACGUUGUUCGGAAUUACUGGGCGUAAAGCGCGUGUAGGCUGCUCGGAAAGUCAGAUGUGAAAACCCUGGGCUCAACCUAGGAAAUGCAUUCGAAACUUCCGAGCUGGAGUGCUGGAGAGGAAGGCGGAAUUCUCGGUGUAGAGGUGAAAUUCGUAGAUAUCGAGAGGAACACCGGUGGCGAAGGCGGCCUUCUGGACAGUGACUGACGCUGAGACGCGAAAGCGUGGGGAACAAACAGG